CGGGAACAGGAGCGGGCAGGGGGGAGAUAAACUCGGGAUGAGGAGUCCCCGCUGCUCAUACCCCAGCACGGAGCUGCUUCUUCCCAGCCUUGUCCCAGGCGAAGCACUGGCUAGAAGAGAUGAGCUACUCAAAGCAUUCCCAAGGAGACUCAGAAACGGCAUGGGAUACAGCUAAGGAAUGGAUAGAAUGCAUAAUCAACACAAUCAGUGGGGAAAACUCUAUGGUAAGUCUCUCCAAGGCAAUGCUCUGGGGAUUUCCCUGAGGGGGAAGGAUUCAGAGGAUUCCACAACUCCCCUGUUUUUUCUUACAAUGAAGACUUCCCCAAUGGACUUCUACAGACACUUAAAUAAACAGGGAAAUGUGUAAAACGAUAAAAACAAUUAUUACAAUCUAACAAAUUCCUUUAACAAAAGAUGAAACCCAUCUCGUCAGCCCUCAUUAUCAGAAAAGUUCAUUGAUCCAAUCUGAGUUCUUUUUCACCUUUAAGUCUUUUAUUUGUUCCCUCAGCUUCUGGAUACUUGCAUGGGUAGAUUUUGAGUAUGAAGAAAGGUUGAGGCAGCACAUCCUUUCAAAGUCUUGGCGGCCAUGUCCAUGGGCAAGCAGUAAAAAGUCUAUUGCUGCUUGAUUUUGCAAUGUUGCGUGCAGUCACGUCACUGACUGCAGUGGAGGUAGCGUUUGCCUGCUUACUCUGCCAACACUCUAGGUGAGAAAGCUCACCAAGAGCCUCAGCUGUG
This is a long non-coding RNA of Melospiza melodia melodia, 735 nucleotides long. RefSeq lists it as uncharacterized. The transcript is spliced from 4 exons. Lineage: Eukaryota; Metazoa; Chordata; Aves; Passeriformes; Passerellidae. The record is from RefSeq and is a predicted model, not a curated record.